Molecule: ribosomal RNA, 1578 nt
Filed under: Shigella boydii
Lineage: Bacteria; Pseudomonadati; Pseudomonadota; Gammaproteobacteria; Enterobacterales; Enterobacteriaceae
Description: bacterial SSU rRNA
Rfam family: Bacterial small subunit ribosomal RNA (bases 1-1393)
Source: RNAcentral
AGAGUUUGAUCAUGGCUCAGAUUGAACGCUGGCGGCAGGCCUAACACAUGCAAGUCGAACGGUAACAGGAAUCAGCUUGCUGAUUCGCUGACGAGUGGCGGACGGGUGAGUAAUGUCUGGGAAACUGCCUGAUGGAGGGGGAUAACUACUGGAAACGGUAGCUAAUACCGCAUAAUGUCGCAAGACCAAAAAGGGGGACCUUCGGGCCUCUUGCCAUCGGAUGUGCCCAGAUGGGAUUAGCUUGUUGGUGGGGUAACGGCUCACCAAGGCGACGAUCCCUAGCUGGUCUGAGAGGAUGACCAGCCACACUGGAACUGAGACACGGUCCAGACUCCUACGGGAGGCAGCAGUGGGGAAUAUUGCACAAUGGGCGCAAGCCUGAUGCAGCCAUGCCGCGUGUAUGAAGAAGGCCUUCGGGUUGUAAAGUACUUUCAGCGGGGAGGAAGGGAGUAAAGUUAAUACCUUUGCUCAUUGACGUUAUCCGCAGAAGAAGCACCGGCUAACUCCGUGCCAGCAGCCGCGGUAAUACGGAGGGUGCAAGCGUUAAUCGGAAUUACUGGGCGUAAAGCGCACGCAGGCGGUUUGUUAAGUCAGAUGUGAAAUCCCCGGGCUCAACCUGGGAACUGGCAUCUGAUACUGGCAAGCUUGAGUCUCGUAGAGGGGGGUAGAAUUCCAGGUGUAGCGGUGAAAUGCGUAGAGAUCUGGAGGAAUACCGGUGGCGAAGGCGGCCCCCUGGACGAAGACUGACGCUCAGGUGCGAAAGCGUGGGGAGCAAACAGGAUUAGAUACCCUGGUAGUCCACGCCGUAAACGAUGUCGACUUGGAGGUUGUGCCCUUGAGGCGUGGCUUCCGGAGCUAACGCGUUAAGUCGACCGCCUGGGGAGUACGGCCGCAAGGUUAAAACUCAAAUGAAUUGACGGGGGCCCGCACAAGCGGUGGAGCAUGUGGUUUAAUUCGAUGCAACGCGAAGAACCUUACCUGGUCUUGACAUCCACGGAAGUUUUCAGAGAUGAGAAUGUGCCUUCGGGAACCGUGAGACAGGUGCUGCAUGGCUGUCGUCAGCUCGUGUUGUGAAAUGUUGGGUUAAGUCCCGCAACGAGCGCAACCCUUAUCCUUUGUUGCCAGCGGUCCGGCCGGGAACUCAAAGGAGACUGCCAGUGAUAAACUGGAGGAAGGUGGGGACGACGUCAAGUCAUCAUGGCCCUUACGACCAGGGCUACACACGUGCUACAAUGGCGCAUACAAAGAGAAGCGACCUCGCGAGAGCAAGCGGACCUCAUAAAGUGCGUCGUAGUCCGGAUUGGAGUCUGCAACCCACUCCAUGGUGGAUCGGCAGGUUCGUGGUCAAGGCCCGGUGAAUAUUCCCGGGCUUCUAUCCACGAUUACUAGCGUCCGACCAUGGAUCGAGUUGCAGACUCCAAUCCGGACUACGACGCACUUUAUGAGGUCCGCUUGCUCUCGCGAGGUCGCUUCUCUUUGUAUGCGCCAUUGUAGCACGUGUGUAGCCCUGGUCGUAAGGGCCAUGAUGACUUGACGUCGUCCCCACCUUCCUCCAGUUUAUCACUGGCAGUCUCCUUU